RNAcentral lists this ribosomal RNA (261 nucleotides) under uncultured prokaryote. RNAcentral's name for it is "partial 16S ribosomal RNA". It matches the Rfam family "Bacterial small subunit ribosomal RNA", at positions 917 to 1178 of the family's 1533-position model. The record is from RNAcentral.
GGGCCCGCACAAGCGGUGGAGCAUGUGGUUUAAUUCGAAGCAACGCGAAGAACCUUACCAGGUCUUGACAUCCUUUGACCACUUCUAGAGAUAGAGCUUCCCCUUCGGGGGCAAAGUGACAGGUGGUGCAUGGUCGUCGUCAGCUCGUGUCGUGAGAUGUUGGGUUAAGUCCCGCAACGAGCGCAACCCUUAUUGUUAGUUGCCAGCAUUCAGAUGGGCACUCUAGCGAGACUGCCGGUGACAAACCGGAGGAAGGCGGGG